CUCCAGGUGUCGAAAGCACUGAUAAAUUGACAUCCAUGGCUUUUUUUGUUCCUUUCGCCAAUUCUACAAUACUAAUGUAGCAGGAUUUUGAAGACACCAUUCAAAAUCUUGAUCAAUCUGUUACCUGCAUAAUCUCUUAUACAAUUUUUGGCUGGAUAUAAAAAUCUGCUAAAAAAUUUGGGAUUCCUCAACUGGUCUUUUCCGGCAUGGGAAUGUUUUCCACCAUCAUGUAUCAGAUCUUAUUAAAAAACAGGCCACAUGCAGGAACAGUUUCUCUCGACACUUCCUUUUUGAUUCCUGAUUUUCCCAAGUUGAAAUUGACAAGAAAUGACUUCAAUCAACUGAUUUUGCCGCCAUAGCUUCACAUGAACUUCACUUAAUAAUAUGCGGGAAGCUGAUUGUUGUGCGAAUCCUCCCACGACGGCAAAUUCUCGAACUCAAUUUCACAGAAUUGCGGCGAGGAGCCUGCCGGACUCCGGGUAAGACAAAUUGUACAGGUAUUUCUCCAUCAGCGCCCGUUAGCUUUGAGCACAAAAUUUUAGAAAUGAAUGAUUACUCCAUUUGAGACCUUGCGCUGGGAAGAAGACUGAAUACAAGGGGGAUUCAUCAUUCAUUAAUUUGCUCCAAUUUGGGAUUCAUUAACCUUGAAUUUUUCCCUGCUUUCUCUUUUAUUGCACCAUAGUUACAAAAAUAAUUCUCAACAUUUUGACAAUUAACUAGAUAAUCAUAUUUUUUUGGGAGUGAGGUGGGAUUUCAAGGAUUUGAAGUAUUAGUGCGGAGGGGAGUUUGGGGAAGGUGAAGGCAAUGAGAGAGGAGGAAUUGGGACAUUGAGAGACGAUCUUGAAAGUGGAGGGUUUUGAAAUGAAAGCUAAAUUUUUUUUUCAUUUUAUACCUAAAGGUUAAUACCGUAAUUAAUACAUGAUUAAAGAAAUAUUAAAAGGCUAAGUGCAUUAAUCAAUUUUAGGGCACCCAGGCCUACUUUGCCCAUUUAUUAAAGACAACUUAAGAAUUCCACUCAUUUAAUUUCAAUUUUACCAUAAUUUUUUUCUUAUAAAAAUGAGAGAGAGGCAUUGGAGAAGAUUAGGAUGUACGAUUUUUUUGUAAGUUUCUUCUCAUCACAGUAAAUUAUUAUAAUAAUGAAUACCUUAUGCCAGAAACGGAUGGGGUGGGGGGGGGUUGGACUGGCUGUAGUCUCCCCCAAAGCCUAUAUUUUUUUUAGAUAUUCUUUUUUUAUUUUUGUUUUUAAAAAGCAGUAUUUUUAAGUGUUAAAUAAAAAAAAAAAAAAAAAGUGUUCACAUUGUAGUCCGACCCAAAAUUUUGUAGUUUGGUCUUAAAUUCAAUCCUGGCAGUAAAAGGGCACUACUUUUGUUGUAGGCAAACAUAACUUCUUCUGGUGCUUUUUAAUGCUCUAUUGACUAUACGACAUAAUCUAAUAUUGAGACGAAAAUCUAUGAAUUUUGCAUGUUCUUGUGUUUAUUUUAUUUUUACAAUUUUAUUGCUCUUGUGAUGAAUUAAGAUAUCUAAUUCUCAACAAUAAUGUCCGAAACUUUAACGACGCAUUUUUCAUGAUAAUUUAACAAAGAUUUAAACCAUUUACGUAAUUGAGACUGGUUAUGCCAUUAUAAUAAAAUCUUGAGGAUCAACUUGAUAGACUUGCUAAUGGCGAAACAAGUUAGAAAGCCGGUAAUGCAAUUUACGUUACUCCUGUAAUUUCUUUACUUUCGAACAAUGGAUUUCCACAAGGUUCACUUAACAAUUUAACAAGAUUCGAACAUAAUUACAUUAUUAAGACUUGUUUUGCAACAAUAAUGGAAGUUUAGGAAUCAACUUUCUUCUUUGUAAAGUAGAAAAAUUACUUGCUAAUAAAGCAAUAAGUUGAGGACCAAUAAUGUAAUUUUGCCGCAUCUUCAACUUUACGAUGCUUAGUUUUGCUUCUGUUGACGCACUAAAAGUGCAGCCCAAAUCAAAUAGCCCAAGGAAUGAAGUCCAACUGGGCAAUUCAGGAUAAAGGCCCAGAUAGGGUUAUUAAUGAAUGCAGUGGAAGUCCACGAACACGGUAACAUCAUCGCCCAAUCUUACAAAACGCCCAAGAUCUGAGCGAAUGAAGUGCCUUACAGUCGCCCAGAGCUAUGACUCUGUUCUCGCUCAAAUCUUCGAAUCGCCCAAGAUCUUAGCAAACAUAAGAUAUUAUGGUUAUCCAGAAGUGCAAUUAUUGAAGCAGUUAUUGAGUAACAUUAUCACGUUCCACCAUUCAAGGAGUUCAGUUGAAGACGGUUAAACGACAAAGAGUAGUGGCAGCAGUUAGAUACGACAGUUCGACAACAAGUUAGCCACCAUAAAAAAAGUGGGUAGUUAUAAAGCAAUCAAACAGUUUCUAAGCAGUUGAUCACGAAAAAAUCAUCAAGAGAAUAUAAAAGGAAGAGAAGACAUAGAGCAAAGGACUUGAAUCAAAUACUCUCAAACAGAAAAUAUGUAAUUUCAGUUUCUUAGUUUAAAACUUAAACAUUUCUUUCAGUACUCGUGUGCUUGCGCCCCUUGGAGGCAUUCUGUUUAGUUCCAAUUGUAAAUCAUUGCCAAUAGGGCUGUUUGAUAAUAAAGUUUGUGAAAAGUAAUUUUUUGAAAAAAUAUGAUUAAAAAGUGGGAAAAAAAUUAGACGUUCAUAUGUAAAAUUAUUUUAUUAGAAUCUUUUUUUUACUUUUUUUAUCGUAGGUGUUUGUGCUAGUUUACGCAUACCUCGACUAAUUUUAAGGGAUCCUGAAGUUUACAACUGAGUAUUUGUUUCAAUGGUCCUGAUAGAAUUCGAAUUGGUGGCCAUUGAGAAUAAAUCUAAAGUCUGAUCACUGAACUAUCUCUCAAGAUUUAUUUAUCUGAAUAGAAGUUUACUGAUAAAAAUAGUUUUUGUUACAUUUUCAUGGGAAUUUCACGUUUCACUUUUAUGAAGAUUUUGCUUUUUUAUACUAGAUGUUUUGUUAAUUGUAAAUUUUAAUUGUUGUUGUUGUGACCUUUGUGGUGAGGUCAUGUCAGGGGCAUGAUAAGAAGCCCCCUCAAUGGUCGUGAGGGCCAAAGCCAAAAACAAAAUUUAUUAAGGAUAACUAACAAAAAUACUUUUAAAAUUAUGAGUAUUUUGAAAAAUCAUAUAAAAAAUUUAUUGAAAGUAAAAAAUACCGUAUAAAAUUAAAAAGUGACACUUUAUAAAAAUUUUGUGACACAAUGUCACUAUUUUUAGUGACUUUUUUUUUUUUUUUUUUUUAAAAAAGGCCCCCUCAAUGGUCGUGAGGGCCAAAGCCAAAAACAAAAUUUAUUAAGGAUAACUAACAAAAAUACUUUUAAAAUUAUGAGUAUUUUGAAAAAUCAUAUAAAAAAUUUAUUGAAAGUAAAAAAUACCGUAUAAAAUUAAAAAGUGACACUUUAUAAAAAUUUUGUGACACAAUGUCACUAUUUUUAGUGACUUUUUUUUUUUUUUUUUUUGAAAAAGACGAUUGAAAAAAAAGUGACAAAAAUUCCAAAAAAGUGAUGAACUAAAAAAGUAACACAAAUUAAAAAAAGUUACACAGAUUUAAAAAAGUGACAAUUAAAAAAAAAAAAGUAACACAAAUUCCCAAAAAAAAAAAACAAAGGUGAUAGAAAAUUUAAAAAGUGACAAAUCAUAACCCACAAUUUUUGAUAUAGCCAAAUUAUCUAAUAAGUUCACAAUUGAUGAACAAAUUAAAAACGUUUGAACUAACAACUUGAGCAAUAAAAUCAUAACCCAAAAUUUAAAUACAACUAAGUUUUCAAUAAGCUCACAAGAAAUGAAAAUUGAUGACUAAACUAAAAUGUCAAAUGUGAAAAAAUUGUAUAAACCCUCGUGACCGUUAAUAAACUAAUAUCAUUUCUGAAAUCAUUUAUAUCAAAUAUUUUCCAAAAUCAUUUGCAUGUUGUGCUUCUUCGUCACAUACAUCUUCCGUUUUUGCCUCAUCAACAAUCUGUGAGCUGAAAUUCUAUAGAGAACUGAAUCUAAUAUUUCGAUCAAAGGUUAAGAUUCAAGAUUCUCUCCUUGAUUACGGCAUUAAAAUUGUUGAACUCCCAUUUCCACAAGAAACAAAUGGUAUGGUGUCCCUCCAGGUGUCGAAAGCACUGAUAAAUUGACAUCCAUGGCUUUUUUUGUUCCUUUCGCCAAUUCUACAAUACUAAUGUAGCAGGAUUUUGAAGACACCAUUCAAAAUCUUGAUCAAUCUGUUACCUGCAUAAUCUCUUAUACAAUUUUUGGCUGGAUAUAAAAAUCUGCUAAAAAAUUUGGGAUUCCUCAACUGGUCUUUUCCGGCAUGGGAAUGUUUUCCACCAUCAUGUAUCAGAUCUUAUUAAAAAACAGGCCGCAUGCAGGAACAGUUUCUCUCGACACUUCCUUUUUGAUUCCUGAUUUUCCCAAGUUGAAAUUGACAAGAGAUGACUUCGAUCAAGUGAUUUUGCCGCCAUAGCUGCACAUGAACUUCACUUUAUAAUAUGGGGGAAGCUGAUUGUUGUGCGAAUCCUCCCACGACGGCGAAUUCUCGAACUUAAUUUCACAGAAGUGCGGCGAGAAGCAGCCGGACUCCGAGUAAGACAAAUUGUACAGGUAUUUCUCCGUUAGCUUUGAGCACAAAAUUUUAGAAAUGAAUGAUUACUCCAUUUGAGACCUUGCGCUGGGAAGAAGACUGAAUACAAGGCGGAUUCAUCAUUCAUUAAUUUGCUCCAAUUUGGGAUUCAUUAACCUUGAAUUUUUCCCUGCUUUCUCUUUUAUUGCACCAUAGUUACAAAAAUAAUUCUCAACAUUUUGACAAUUAACUAGAUAAUCAUAUUUUUUUGGGAGUGAGGUGCGAUUUCAAGGAUUUGAAGUAUUAGUGCGGAGGGGAGUUUGGGGAAGGUGAAGGCAAUGAGAGAGGAGGAAUUGGGACAUUGAGAGACGAUCUUGAAAGUGGAGGGUUUUGAAAUGAAAGCUAAAUUUUUUUUCAUUUUAUACCUAAAGGUUAAUACCGUAAUUAAUACAUGAUUAAAGAAAUAUUAAAAGGCUAAGUGCAUUAAUCAAUUUUAGGGCACCCAGGCCUACUUUGCCCAUUUAUUAAAGACAACUUAAGAAUUCCACUCAUUUAAUUUCAAUUUUACCAUAAUUUUUUUCUUAUAAAAAUGAGAGAGAGGCAUUGGAGAAG
This 5165-nucleotide long non-coding RNA is filed under the name Olea europaea (common olive). RNAcentral's name for it is "long non-coding RNA (OEUR_LNC001731)". The record is from RNAcentral. Lineage: Eukaryota; Viridiplantae; Streptophyta; Magnoliopsida; Lamiales; Oleaceae.